CCUACGGGUGGCUGCAGUGAGGAAUAUUGGUCAAUGGACGCAAGUCUGAACCAGCCAUGCCGCGUGCAGGAUGAAGGCUCUAUGAGUUGUAAACUGCUUUUGUACGGGGGUAAACCCCGAUACGUGUCUCGGGUUGAAAGUAUCGUACGAAUAAGCAUCGGCUAACUCCGUGCCAGCAGCCGCGGUAAUACGGAGGAUCCGAGCGUUAUCCGGAUUUAUUGGGUUUAAAGGGUGCGUAGGCGGUUUGAUAAGUUAGAGGUGAAAUGGCGGGGCUCAACCCCGGAACUGCCUUUAAUACUGUUGGACUAGAGUAGAGGUGAGGUAGGCGGAAUGUAUGGUGUAGCGGUGAAAUGCUUAGAGAUCACACAGAACACCGAUUGCGAAGGCAGCAUACCAAAC
RNAcentral lists this ribosomal RNA (399 nucleotides) under uncultured bacterium. RNAcentral describes it as "partial 16S ribosomal RNA". It matches the Rfam family "Bacterial small subunit ribosomal RNA", at positions 338 to 734 of the family's 1533-position model. The record is from RNAcentral.